Molecule: unclassified non-coding RNA, 287 nt
Filed under: Hevea brasiliensis (rubber tree)
Lineage: Eukaryota; Viridiplantae; Streptophyta; Magnoliopsida; Malpighiales; Euphorbiaceae
Source: RNAcentral
GUCAAUACCAAAUUCAGUGAAGUUAUGGUUGCAGGCUGCAAAACUGGAGCAUGAUACUGCAAAUAAGAGUAGGGUUUUGAGGAAAGGCUUGGAACAUAUUCCAGAUUCUGUUAGGUUGUGGAAGGCAGUUGUGGAGUUGGCAAAUGAAGAGGAUGCCAGACUUUUGCUUCAUAGGGCUGUUGAAUGUUGUCCUUUACACGUAGAAUUGUGGCUUGCAUUGGCAAGACUGGAAACUUAUGAUCGUGCAAAAAAGGUUCUUAAUAGUGCAAGGGAGAAGCUGCCGAAGG